Molecule: ribosomal RNA, 435 nt
Filed under: uncultured bacterium
Lineage: Bacteria
Description: partial 16S ribosomal RNA
Rfam family: Bacterial small subunit ribosomal RNA
Source: RNAcentral
GAUGAACGCUGGCGGUAUGCUUAACACAUGCAAGUCGAACGGACUCUUCGGGGUUAGUGCCGGACGGGUGAGUAACGCGUGAGAAUCUGCCUUUGGGUUUGGCACAACCACUGGAAACGGUUCCUAAUACCGGAUGUGCUGCGAGGUAAAAGCGAAAUUGCCUGAAGAUGAGUUCGCGUCUGAUUAGCUAGUUGGUGAGGUAAAGUCUCACCAAGUCAGCGAUCAGUAGCUGGUCUGAAAGGAUGACCAGCCACACUGGGACUGGGACGCGGCACAGACUACUACGGGAGGCAGGAGUGGAGCAUUUUCCAGAAAGGGCGAAAGUCUGACGGAGCAAUACCGAGUGAGGGAAGAAGGCUCUUGGGUUGUAAACCUCUUUUCUUAGGGAAGAACAAAAUGACGUUACCUAAGGAAUCAGCAUCGGCUAACUCCGUG